UGGGGAAUAUUGCACAAUGGGCGAAAGCCUGAUGCAGCAACGCCGCGUGAGUGAUGAAGGUCUUCGGAUUGUAAAGCUCUGUCUUUUGGGACGAUAAUGACGGUACCAAAGGAGGAAGCCACGGCUAACUACGUGCCAGCAGCCGCGGUAAUACGUAGGUGGCGAGCGUUGUCCGGAUUUACUGGGCGUAAAGGGUGCGUAGGCGGAUGUUUAAGUGAGAUGUGAAAUACCCGGGCUUAACUUGGGUGCUGCAUUUCAAACUGGAUAUCUAGAGUGCAGGAGAGGAGAAUGGAAUUCCUAGUGUAGCGGUGAAAUGCGUAGAGAUUAGGAAGAACACCAGUGGCGAAGGCGAUUCUCUGGACUGCAACUGACGCUGAGGCACGAAAGCGUGGGUAGCAAACAGGAUUAGAUACCCUGGUAGUCCACGCCGUAAACGAUGAGUACUAGGUGUAGGAGGUAUCGACCCCUUCUGUGCCGCAGUAAACACAUUAAGUACUCCGCCUGGGAAGUACGAUCGCAAGAUU
RNAcentral lists this ribosomal RNA (524 nucleotides) under uncultured bacterium. RNAcentral describes it as "partial 16S ribosomal RNA". It matches the Rfam family "Bacterial small subunit ribosomal RNA", at positions 355 to 895 of the family's 1533-position model. The record is from RNAcentral.